This 468-nucleotide ribosomal RNA is filed under the name uncultured bacterium. RNAcentral's name for it is "partial 16S ribosomal RNA". It matches the Rfam family "Bacterial small subunit ribosomal RNA", at positions 28 to 507 of the family's 1533-position model. The record is from RNAcentral.
GACGAACGCUGGCGGCGUGCUUAACACAUGCAAGUCGAACGGAAAGGCCCUGCUUUUGUGGGGUGCUCGAGUGGCGAACGGGUGAGUAACACGUGAGUAACCUGUCCUUGACUUUGGGAUAACUUCAGGAAACUGGGGCUAAUACCGGAUAGGAGCUCCUGCUGCAUGGUGGGGGUUGGAAAGUUUCGGCGGUUGGGGAUGGACUCGCGGCUUAUCAGCUUGUUGGUGGGGUAGUGGCUUACCAAGGCUUUGACGGGUAGCCGGCCUGAGAGGGCGACCGGCCACAUUGGGACUGAGAUACGGCCCAGACUCCUACGGGAGGCAGCAGUGGGGAAUAUUGCACAAUGGGCGGAAGCCUGAUGCAGCAACGCCGCGUGCGGGAUGACGGCCUUCGGGUUGUAAACCGCUUUCGCCUGUGACGAAGCGUGAGUGACGGUAAUGGGUAAAGAAGCACCGGCUAACUACGUG